ACCCGCUGAACUUAAGCAUAUCAAUAAGCGGAGGAAAAGAAACCAACAGGGAUUGCCUCAGUAACGGCGAGUGAAGCGGCAAAAGCUCAAAUUUGAAAUCUGGCUCUUUCAGGGUCCGAGUUGUAAUUUGUAGAAGAUGCUUCGGGUGUGGUCCCGGUCUAAGUUCCUUGGAACAGGACGUCAUAGAGGGUGAGAAUCCCGUAUGUGACUGGGUACCUACGCUCAUGUGAAGCUCUUUCGACGAGUCGAGUUGUUUGGGAAUGCAGCUCAAAAUGGGUGGUAAAUUUCAUCUAAAGCUAAAUAUUGGCCAGAGACCGAUAGCGCACAAGUAGAGUGAUCGAAAGAUGAAAAGCACUUUGGAAAGAGAGUUAAACAGUACGUGAAAUUGUUGAAAGGGAAGCGCUUGCAAUCAGACUUGCGCCUAGUUGAUCAUCCGGGCUUCUGCCCGGUGCACUCGAUUAGGCUCAGGCCAGCAUCGGUUUGGGUGGUUGGAUAAAGACUUGGGGAACGUAGCCUCCUUCGGGGGAUGUUAUAGCCCCAGGUGCAAUGCAGCCUACCUGGACCGAGGACCGCGCUUCGGCUAGGAUGCUGGCGUAAUGGUUGU
Molecule: ribosomal RNA, 604 nt
Filed under: uncultured fungus
Lineage: Eukaryota; Fungi
Description: eukaryotic LSU rRNA
Rfam family: Eukaryotic large subunit ribosomal RNA
Source: RNAcentral